AACUGCUGAACAGAAAAAGAUAAGCUUCUGCAGAUUCUGAUCUUGGUUAGUAUGGGUUAAAUCUAAUGUAACUUUACUGAAGUCUUUCAUUUAUGGUGCUGUAACACAGUAUGAACUAUGACCUCUGUACUGGUAAAAUCAAGUGUUUCAUCUGAAAACAUGUUGCCAAGUGUUGCAUGGGAAACAUUCCAAAAUCAAUAGUCUUUGUAACAUUACUGCCACUUCAUAUACUGCCACAAAUCAUAUCUAUGCCUCACACAUGCAAAACAUCCCUAAAUAAGCUAACAUAACUAACAUUUUUAUUUUUUAUUUUUUUUUAGGCAGAAAAUUUGUAACAGAAAGGAACUGCAGAAACAGAACAGUUGCUGCAACACCCUGCAAAGAAGCACAGGAUGGAGACCCACAUGAAGGAAGCAGGAGGAGCAACCAGAACCACAACUGAUGUGAGGAUGAAGGACUGAGUGAAGGGAGAAGAUGGAGUAGAGGCACAGAGGAAAACAUUGUGGGUUGACAAGAGAGGCUCUGUAGGUCUGGGUUGGAGGUGUACGUGGCCUCUGCCAACAACACCAAGGUUGAGCACUCCUGACACCUUGCAGAUUGAUCAAAGGUAAGAUCAAGGUCACUUUAUUUU
Anas platyrhynchos (mallard) is the source of this 631-nucleotide long non-coding RNA. RefSeq lists it as uncharacterized. The record is from RefSeq and is a predicted model, not a curated record. Lineage: Eukaryota; Metazoa; Chordata; Aves; Anseriformes; Anatidae.